AAUUUUGGACAAUGGGCGCAAGCCUGAUCCAGCCAUGCCGCGUGAGUGAAGAAGGCCUUCGGGUUGUAAAGCUCUUUCGGACGGAAAGAAAUCGCGCAGGCCAAUCACCUGCGCGGAUGACGGUAACGGCAUAAGAAGCACCGGCUAACUACGUGCCAGCCGCCGCGGUCAGACGUAGGGUGCGAGCGUUAAUCGGAAUUACUGGGCGUAAAGCGUGCGCAGGCGGUUGAUUAAGACAGGCAUGAAGUCCCCGGGCUUAACCUGGUAACUGCGCUUGUGACUGGUCAGCUAGAGUACGGCAGAGGGGAGUGGAAUUCCACAUGUAGCAGUGAAAUGCGUAGAGAUGUGGAGGAACACCGAUGGCGAAGGCAGCCCCCUGGGCCGAUACUGACGCUCAUGCACGAAAGCGUGGGUAGCAAACAGG
RNAcentral lists this ribosomal RNA (424 nucleotides) under uncultured bacterium. RNAcentral's name for it is "partial 16S ribosomal RNA". It matches the Rfam family "Bacterial small subunit ribosomal RNA", at positions 360 to 776 of the family's 1533-position model. The record is from RNAcentral.